RNAcentral lists this small RNA (203 nucleotides) under Arabidopsis thaliana (thale cress). Its description in RNAcentral is "ATSL203000". Lineage: Eukaryota; Viridiplantae; Streptophyta; Magnoliopsida; Brassicales; Brassicaceae. The record is from RNAcentral.
AUCAAUUAGAUGAGGAAUUCCCGAGGAUGGGUAAUUGAGUAGUUUUGUUUCCUCAGUUUACAGGUGAUUGACAUGCUCAAUAAAUUAUCCCUAGACAACAAGUUUAAUAACCAAAUCUAAGUGUCACCGCAACAGAGACCCUCAAGUUACACCAGUCCCAGACUCAAUCACCAUUGACAAGAGCUAACUUAACAGGCAUUAAC